Molecule: ribosomal RNA, 254 nt
Filed under: uncultured bacterium
Lineage: Bacteria
Description: partial 16S ribosomal RNA
Rfam family: Bacterial small subunit ribosomal RNA
Source: RNAcentral
CACGUAGGGUGCGAGCGUUGUCCGGAAUUAUUGGGCGUAAAGAGCUCGUAGGCGGUGUGUCGCGUCGGCCGUGAAAACCUGCAGCUUAACUGUGGGCGUGCGGUCGAUACGGGCAUCACUGGAGUUCGGCAGGGGAGACUGGAAUUCCUGGUGUAGCGGUGAAAUGCGCAGAUAUCAGGAGGAACACCGGUGGCGAAGGCGGGUCUCUGGGCCGAUACUGACGCUGAGGAGCGAAAACGUGGGGAGCGAACAGG